CGUACGGGUGCGUAACACGUAUGUAACCUACCCUUUACAGGAGUAUAGCUCGGGGAAACUCGGAUUAAUCCUCCAUAAGAUGACGCCUCGGCAUCGGGAAGUCAUAAAAACUUAGGUGGUAAAGGAUGGACAUGCGCAUGAUUAGCUAGUUGGAGGUGUAACGGACCCCCAAGGCGAUGAUCAUUAGGGGACCUGAGAGGGUGAUCCCCCACCACUGGCACUGAGAUACGGGCCAG
This 236-nucleotide ribosomal RNA is filed under the name uncultured bacterium. Its description in RNAcentral is "partial 16S ribosomal RNA". It matches the Rfam family "Bacterial small subunit ribosomal RNA", at positions 99 to 334 of the family's 1533-position model. The record is from RNAcentral.